UGGGGAAUCUUCCGCAAUGGGCGAAAGCCUGACGGAGCAACGCCGCGUGAGUGAAGACGGCCUUCGGGUUGUAAAGCUCUGUUAUAUGGGACGAACGGGCGUAUGGUCAAUACCCAUACGCCGUGACGGUACCGUAAGAGAAAGCCACGGCUAACUACGUGCCAGCAGCCGCGGUAAUACGUAGGUGGCAAGCGUUGUCCGGAAUCAUUGGGCGUAAAGGGCGCGCAGGCGGUUCGGUAAGUCGGUCUUAAAAGUGCGGGGCUUAACCCCGUGAUGGGAUUGAAACUGCCGGACUGGAGUGUCGGAGAGGAAAGCAGAAUUCCUAGUGUAGCGGUGAAAUGCGUAGAUAUUAGGGGGAAUACCAGUGGCGAAAGCGGCUUUCUGGACGACAACUGACGCUGAGGCGCGAAAAGCCAGGGGA
This 421-nucleotide ribosomal RNA is filed under the name uncultured bacterium. Its description in RNAcentral is "partial 16S ribosomal RNA". It matches the Rfam family "Bacterial small subunit ribosomal RNA", at positions 355 to 767 of the family's 1533-position model. The record is from RNAcentral.